ACCAAUUCUAUAUCCCCAAAAAUCUUUCUAAAAUUUGAACGAUCCGUCUCUGUCUCAGUCGAAUCGACUCAACCCCCUCUUAUUGGAUUCCAAGCAGCUGUUCACGUCUCGUUUGUCACGAUAAACAUAUCCGUCGCGUAAAGGCCAUCGAGAGAGUCUCUCCUUCUACCGACCUUCUUCUCCUUCUCCUCACUCUCUCCUACUUGGGUCCCCCGUGGCACACAGGUGUACUGGACGGCGUUCCUCGGCCUCCAUACGCUUUCAGUUAACGCCUGGUCGUCGCUAGGUAUGCCAGCUCCCUCGUGGAUACUGCCAGUUUGCCUGUGAUCCGUUUUACCUGGCUUCGUGACCUGGCUUUGUCUCGAUCAUCUCAAUCAUCCUCGCGUCGAUAUUUCUUUCUUUCUUUCUUUCUUUCUUUUUUUUUCUCUCUCUUUUUCUUUUCCUUUUCUCGGUGGAACUCGGUAGUUUUUGUGAGUGAUUGGGACGGAAGAGGAAACGUGGGAGAAACUUUUAUGUUUAUUUAUGAAACUAAGUGGGUGGCUGGCUCGUGGGAGUUUGACUCAUCGGUGUAUUCUUUUUUUGGAUGAUCCGGAGAUGGAUACAGUCGGGAUUAUUUAAAUUGAGCAACGUUACUCGACGAUUACCACCGCGGUCUCGCUAAUUGCACGCCUCGGCGGAACGUUUUCACAGUUUCGAAAGAUCGCUACCUGGAAUCCCUCGACGAAAUUUUUCCGCUAAUAAACACGAUGUUCCGUGUCGAUAGUAACAUCGAUAAUUGGUUGAAAUUCGACGCUUCCACUCUCGUUCGACGACUCAAAGAUUCGAGAAUUCUUUCGAUGCUACUUGCGUGCGCUCAUUUGCGAAACGAGAUGGCAAUUAUUUAAGCUUGGCGAAUCAAUAGAUGGCGUUCGCACGCUGUAGAAGUAUGGCAAUCACGUAUGAAAGAUACAUGUCCUGAAGAUGUCAAUUAAGGUGAUGAUGAUGAACGAGAAAGCCACCGAAGCGUGAGUGUCUACGCGAGUAACAGUUUUCCGCCUUGGUUCCUAAAACUUUCACGGUUAUUCGCCCGGGCCCCCACAACUUCGUGAGAGAUUGUCUUCUCGUAUAUAGGGAACGAGAGCUGAUGAAUAGCGAACGGAAGUCGAUCGUCUCGUCGGAUCGGAAGCUGUGAACUUAGAACGUUCUCACGAUUCACGAAGGUGAAACGAUGCGGUGAUACCCGAGGAACCCCGCCUCAACACCCGUACAUAUCAAUUCAUAUCUCUGCCCGAUAAACAUCGCCAAACAUCAAUCGACCAAUCAAACGAAGCAUAUCGAAACGCAAUGAAGAGCCAACGA
Long non-coding RNA from Apis dorsata (giant honeybee), 1338 nucleotides. RefSeq lists it as uncharacterized. NCBI's taxonomy places the organism in Eukaryota, Metazoa, Arthropoda, Insecta, Hymenoptera, Apidae. The transcript is spliced from 4 exons. The record is from RefSeq and is a predicted model, not a curated record.